GCAGUUCCAUUUCUUGCUUUUCACUUUAAGCAAUUUUAUGCUUACGAUUGCCCACUUUUCUUCUCUCUAUAUCUGUACUACAAGGAUGAAGAGAGAGUGAAAAGUGGUGAUGAUAAGUCAACGAGACGAGGAUCAAAAUUAUGAACCUGACAUCUGUUCAAAUGUAUAGCAGCCGUCGUUGGAGCUCUGAUAGGUGUUGUACUACAACGCAGCCUUGCCUUGUACUUCUUUGCAGUACAUAGAAAAUGCUGGUGGGUGGGCUGGUGGUGCUUGAAUUUAGUAUAAAUAAGAAAAACAAUUGCUGUGUUUUUUUGCCAUAUAAGAAGCUUGGGUUUUUGUUCUCUCGGCCUGGCAUUUAAUGCUCUUGAUUAUUGCUUUGGAAGAAGCAAUAUUUAUGGUUUUUGGGCUUUUCUUGAAAGCCUCGAAUCAAGUUCGUCUGCUGUCGUCUGUUUUUCUUGGAGAGUUUCCUUAAGUCAACUUAGAGGCUGGCCCUUGCCCAUGUGUUGAUUUGAAUGUUUUGUUGUCUUUCUGAAGGAAACUAUAUGCUCUUGCAUCUACUUGUAUUGAUUGAUGGGAGACUUGUUAGUUGACUGAGGAAGUUGGAUUCUUCUGGUUGCUUUUUUGAAGCU
This 629-nucleotide long non-coding RNA is filed under the name Populus trichocarpa (black cottonwood). RNAcentral's name for it is "long non-coding RNA (PTRI_LNC004560)". The record is from RNAcentral. Lineage: Eukaryota; Viridiplantae; Streptophyta; Magnoliopsida; Malpighiales; Salicaceae.